This 495-nucleotide ribosomal RNA is filed under the name uncultured bacterium. Its description in RNAcentral is "partial 16S ribosomal RNA". It matches the Rfam family "Bacterial small subunit ribosomal RNA", at positions 28 to 507 of the family's 1533-position model. The record is from RNAcentral.
GACGAACGCUGGCGGCGUGCCUAAUACAUGCAAGUAGAACGCUGAAGGAGGAGCUUGCUUCUCUGGAUGAGUUGCGAACGGGUGAGUAACGCGUAGGUAACCUGCCUGGUAGCGGGGGAUAACUAUUGGAAACGAUAGCUAAUACCGCAUAAUAGUAGAUGUUGCAUGACAUUUGCUUAAAAGGUGCAAUUGCAUCACUACCAGAUGGACCUGCGUUGUAUUAGCUAGUUGGUGGGGUAACGGCUCACCAAGGCGACGAUACAUAGCCGACCUGAGAGGGUGAUCGGCCACACUGGGACUGAGACACGGCCCAGACUUCUACGGGAGGCAGCAGUAGGGAAUCUUCGGCAAUGGACGGAAGUCUGAACGAGCAACGCCGCGUGAGUGAAGAAGGUUUUCGGAUCGUAAAGCUCUGUUGUAAGAGAAGAACGAGUGUGAGAGUGGAAAGUUCACACUGUGACGGUAUCUUACCAGAAAGGGACGGCUAACUACGUG